GCUGGGUGUGGUGGUGCACACCUGUAAUCCCAGCUACUUGGGAGGCUGAGGCAGGAGAAUUGCUUGAACCUGGGAGUCGGAGGUUGCAGUGAGCCGAGAUUGUGCCACUGCACUCCAACCCCAGGGAACAGAGCAAGACUCCAUCUCAA
This 149-nucleotide non-coding RNA is filed under the name Gorilla gorilla gorilla (western lowland gorilla). The record is from Rfam by way of RNAcentral. Lineage: Eukaryota; Metazoa; Chordata; Mammalia; Primates; Hominidae.